ACUGGCUGACGAGUCCCACAAAGGACGAAAUGCGCAUCCUGGAU
Molecule: non-coding RNA, 44 nt
Filed under: Trichobilharzia regenti
Lineage: Eukaryota; Metazoa; Platyhelminthes; Trematoda; Strigeidida; Schistosomatidae
Source: RNAcentral